ACUCACUUGCAAAUAACGUUUAUAAAACUGUGAGUGACCUUUUUCAAUCGGUGAAGUGUCCCAAUACUUGAAGUCUGAUUUGAUAAAGACACCCCAGGCUUCGCUAUUAUCAGUCAGAAUAGGUGAAAUCAUUGUGUCAACAAUUUUGUAAGCAAGAGAUGGUUUCAAACGGCUGAAGUCGAUGCGUCGUCUUAAACUAAACAGAGCAUGAACAGCCUUUUCUCUUAAGUGUUCGAGUGACAGCGUGAAGUUCCCAGUUGAAGAAAUUUGAGUUCCCAGGUAAGUAUAACUUUGGACAAUGUCAAUCUUUUCGUUGCCAAUAUAAAAAUUGCAGUCAUAUUUUUUCGCUCGUCGUUAAAAAAUCAUAACUUUGUUUUUUUGGGGGGAUUUAUGUUUAACAUCCACGAUCUGCAGUACUGGGUCAAAACAUCGAGACAGUUUUGCGGUCCUGCCUUUGAUCGUGAUAGUAAAAGCAAAAAUUUGAUAGCCAGCUUACCGUCAUCAGCCCGAGCUCUGUUCUUUGACAAAGCACGCUGUUUCAGCCAAUCAGAGCACUCGUUAUAUGGAAACUUUAUUAUAAAAGUAAGUAUGUGUCACUAGAGAGUUGGUAAAUCAGCCAAUCAAGUGUCAUAUUCUGCGGUGUUGACACAUGAAGUAAAUUAUGCGCGACCUGAUAGUUGAAUGAGGUAAACAGUCAUGAAAAAUGUUUUUAUAACUAUUUCGAGUUAUUUCGUUCGCUACGAGAGCGUCGGUUGCAUUGAGAAAAAGAUGAGAGGGUGAACAGUGGCACUAUUGUCUGCCUGUAAUGACCUCAGGCAAGGAGUAUUGAAAUAGGCGGAGAAGAUAUUGGACCGAAAAAUUAUUUAGGUAUAAUCCCCUUUAACGCCUCUGUUCAAGUUUGAAGUGUCACUCAUAUUCUGUGACAGGGUUACAUAAUUAUAUUUGACACUGCUCUAGGAGAUAAAUAUCAACCAAUCAGAUCUCUAAUAUGAAGAUAUAUUGAUAUAUAUACUCAGACAUUCAUUUGGGUGUGUAGAAGGCUAGUAAACCGUUAAUUAAUUCAGGCAGGGAAUUAACAACGAGGACUGUUUAUCACCUCUAUUUUGAAUCAUUCGUUUAGUUACAAGGCCGUGGGUUGCACUGGCUGAGACAUCUUUUAGUUGUGAGUUUCUGGAAACCUGCUUCGCGUUUGCAACUUCACUGAAUCGAUGAUAUUGGGUUCGAAUAACAGUCUAAUUCCUCCUCUGUCUUGCACACUUGUAUCAGGAUCGACUUUCAGUUGCUGCUAAUAACCAAGCUCUCCUACUGCUGGGUAAUUAAGCUAGUGUCGACGGAAGCUAUUCUCAAAAGGAAGAGAAAUCGCCUACAUUAUCCUUAUUUAACGAGACCUGGAAUUAGGUGAAUUAUGGAAGUCUAUUCGCCGGCCAGAAGUCUAAUUGCAGUCCGGCGAUCGCUUCUGUGAGUGAAGAGUCUUUUUUGCAGGCCUUGUGCACUUUUAAUGUAUAAGUUUAAAAUGUUUGCAACGUCCCAAAUAUGCCAUAAUUAGUGAUGAAUGCACUUUGCAAAAUGGCGAACUAGUUAGAGCUUGUUGCAUGGUUACGAUAGCUUUAUAUAGACUUCGGGUCAAAAAUAUCCCUUUGGCUUGGAAGAGUUAAGAUUAUUAAUAUGGCCUUCUUUUCAAGUGUCAAGUGACAGGUCAGACAACUCGAGAUUCUAUUACGUUUUGUCUUGACGCGAUCGAACAUUUCUAGACGAAACAUGAAGGCUUAUACAAGAGUAAUCCAUUAGAGUGAAAUAAUUAAGAGAUCAAUUCGGUUCAGACAACAGUACGUUUCAAGGGAAAAUGCACAUCUAUUGUUCUUUUAUUUUUGUUCAAUGUGAUGUAAAGAUUCCCGCUUACCGUCAAACUAGCUAGAUAUCCAUUUGGCCGAGGGCAUGAACUUUUUGCAAACGGUCGUGGUUGCCUUCAUAGAUAAGGACUUCAAUAAAAUGUUCUCGCUAGUUUGAGAGGCAGAUCUGCGAGGGAAACAAACUCAAGCAAAGCUAAGACAAUUUACCAGACAAUUAACGUAACAAUUUACCAGCCAUUGUGAUAACUGACCGGCACCCAUGACGUUGGAGCGAAAGUUGAGAUUUCAGACGGUUAUAAAAUGCCGCCAUUGAUUAUACUACACACAAUGCAGUCUGAUAAAUAUCUUUUGAGAAAGCUCGGAAUUUCUUCCCUCUUGUGAGCCAGUUUGUGCGUUCGAAGCCUACGUUUAUAAAUUGCGAGCGUGAGUACAAAUGCACUGGAGACUAAUAAGUGUUAUAAUGAUAGUCUAUUUUUAUCUUCUGUAGUUAAGGAAGACCUCACUGGUUGACGCAAUGAAUAAAAACGUUCGAAAAGGUAUUUUCAA
Long non-coding RNA from Orbicella faveolata, 2396 nucleotides. The record is from RefSeq and is a predicted model, not a curated record. NCBI's taxonomy places the organism in Eukaryota, Metazoa, Cnidaria, Anthozoa, Scleractinia, Merulinidae.